AUGUGUGCAAGAAACAUGUAAUAACAGUAGCUUUUCUCUUAAAUCCCUCUUGAAAACCGGAUUCUAGAGAUCAUCCUAAUAAAAUAAAGGUGAUGGCCACGGGUCUAGGUUGAUGGUACAAAUUCAAACACGAUAAUUCUUAGAAGU
This is a long non-coding RNA of Telopea speciosissima, 147 nucleotides long. RefSeq lists it as uncharacterized. The transcript has 3 exons. The record is from RefSeq and is a predicted model, not a curated record. NCBI's taxonomy places the organism in Eukaryota, Viridiplantae, Streptophyta, Magnoliopsida, Proteales, Proteaceae.